UUGGGACCUUGAAUAUCAGAACAAGACUACCCCGGCUGUACCUUAUACCAUAAUCAAAUAAGGUUGUAAGGAAUAUCU
Molecule: ribosomal RNA, 78 nt
Filed under: Pythium echinogynum
Lineage: Eukaryota; Oomycota; Peronosporomycetes; Pythiales; Pythiaceae
Description: partial 28S ribosomal RNA
Source: RNAcentral